Molecule: ribosomal RNA, 253 nt
Filed under: uncultured bacterium
Lineage: Bacteria
Description: partial 16S ribosomal RNA
Rfam family: Bacterial small subunit ribosomal RNA
Source: RNAcentral
UACAGAGGUCCCAAGCGUUGUUCGGAUUCACUGGGCGUAAAUGGUGCGUAGGCGGUCGGGUAAGUCUGAUGUGAAAUCUCACAGCUUAACUGUGAUACUGCAUUGGAUACUAUCCGGCUCGAGGAAUGGAGGGGAGACUGGAAUACUUGGUGUAGCAGUGAAAUGCGUAGAUAUCAAGUGGAACACCAGUGGCGAAGGCGAGUCUCUGGACAUUUCCUGACGCUGAGGCACGAAAGCCAGGGGAGCAAACGGG